CUCGUCGAAAGUCUUCCAUUCUUCAAACUAGAUUAUUUAAAAAUGAAAAAGGAAGAAAGGAAAGCGAGGUCAUCUCAUUGCUCUAUCCGCCAAUCAGGAGGCUGAAUGUCAGUUUUGAACUAAAAGCCGCUCCGCUCCUCUUCUAGAUUUGGAAAACAAGCGAAAUUAAACUAAACCGCUGCACGCCUCUGACGCGACAUCUGGACACGGCGCGGCGCUGGCGCUGCCGGAGCUGUCGACCCGGCCUGGCGCCGGACUAGUGUCCCUUUUGAUGAGAAGAAUAAGCCUCAUUCUGAUUCAACAGCAGAGAUCAAAGAAAAGACUUCUGUUUUCUGGCCACCAGAUAUAUGUUAUCUGUGCUUAAAGAAUUGAAAAACACACAUCAAAGGAGAAUUUUCUUGGAAAGAGAGGGUUCAAGCAUCACUGUUAGGUGUGCUGGAAUCCUUUCCCGAGUCAGUACUGCUUUCUAGAAGAAAACCGGGGAGAUCUAUUUGGAAUGUAUCUAACUCCAAAGAAACCAUCAGAGGUAACAGUAGAGACGGGGUUUCACCAUGUUGGCCAGACUGGUCUUGAACUCUCGACCUCGUGAUUCGCCCGCCUCGGCCUCCCAAAGUGCUGGGAUUACAGGUGUGAGACACCACACCCGGCGGAUAGAGAGAAUUUUGACAGAUUGGCUUCUCUCACAUGGCAAGAAACAUUGCUGCUAGCACUUCCCGAGUUCUACGUUCUACAACAUCCACCACUGGAUCUUAACAUAGACGUAAGAUCAAAUGCAAUAGCAUGUCAAACAAUGUGUAACUCCAGUUAUACAAACAUUACUGUAUCUCAUUGGGGAUACGAAGCUCUACACACUUGAAGAUGGUGAAGGAAUAUAAAAAUCUAUGUCUCACAGUCCAGACUUGGAGUACAAGUAAUAAGAAGAAUAAAACUUAAUCCCUUAAGUAGAUUCACCAUAAGUUAGCUCAGAGCAAUUCCAGUGCAAGUAUGGUCUGUGAUCCAGUAGUAUCUUACAGACAGCAAGUUGAACAUUGUGGGAUGCAUGAGCUAUUGAGGCCUUUGCAGCUUUCUGCUACAUGGAGGCUAGGGCCAGAGUCAAGAUUUAUGCUUUGCAGCACACUGGUCAGCUGUUUUUGCAAAUCAGAUUAAAUGAUUUUUAAAUGAGGCUGAGAGCAUGGGAGAUACUAAUGUGUGUUUCCUUGUGAGCUACUGCAUAAGUUAGGAAAUUGAAAUACAGAAAGAUGAAAAGUGAUUUGCCCAAGCAUAUAGAUCAAAGCUGUGGCAGA
This 1283-nucleotide long non-coding RNA is filed under the name Homo sapiens (human). RNAcentral's name for it is "CDKN2B and CDKN2A antisense cis and trans regulatory RNA 1". The stretch from base 268 to 411 matches the Rfam family "CDKN2B antisense RNA 1 convserved region 3". The record is from RNAcentral. Lineage: Eukaryota; Metazoa; Chordata; Mammalia; Primates; Hominidae.